Molecule: ribosomal RNA, 598 nt
Filed under: Helvella vespertina
Lineage: Eukaryota; Fungi; Ascomycota; Pezizomycetes; Pezizales; Helvellaceae
Description: eukaryotic LSU rRNA
Rfam family: 5.8S ribosomal RNA (bases 240-393)
Source: RNAcentral
CCAUUCACGUGCCCGGUUAUUCCAGGUGCGGAAGGGGGCCCGACCUCGAAUCUCUCUCUGCGUACGACUCCCUGUUGCUUCCCCGGGAGGGCGACAUGCCACCCGGGGAAGGGCCCCCCCCUGAGAGCACAACGAUGCCGACAAAUGCACCUGUAGAACUCACCACCCCGGCCGUCUGAUGCCCGGCGCACCGAUCAGGGCGCAGGGAGCCAGGACGUGGACCGCAAACGGAUAGAAAAAACUUUCAACAACGGAUCUCUUGGUUCCCGCAUCGAUGAAGAACGCAGCGAAAUGCGAUAAGUAAUGUGAAUUGCAGAAUUCAGUGAAUCAUCGAAUCUUUGAACGCACAUUGCGCCCCCUGGCAUUCCAGGGGGCAUGCCUGUUCGAGCGUGUCCGAGAAGUAGGCUCACGCGUGGAAACGCGUGGUUGUGGUGGCGGCGGCGGUCCCGACAGGGCGGCCAUCCCGGCGGAAUCGAUGGGCGGAUGCCUGCCGCUUCGCAGAGCGUGAUAUUCUUUGCUAUCGCCUCGAGGGCGGCGAGGUGUCCAGCCAGCGCAUCCAUGCACGGCGGGGAGAAUGUGACAUUGGAACUCCUCGAAU